GCCCCUUUGGUAUGGUGGUGGUCGGCGAAAGCCCCGCAAUGCUUUUUACUGCGUAGGACACCUAAACCGAACGGGCUU
RNAcentral lists this non-coding RNA (78 nucleotides) under unclassified sequences. The record is from RNAcentral.